GCCGAAAUAGCUCAGUUGGGAGAGCGUUAGACUGAAAAUCUAGAGGUCCCUGGUUCGAUCCCGAGUUUCGGCA
This 73-nucleotide transfer RNA is filed under the name Daphnia magna. RNAcentral describes it as "tRNA-Phe". It matches the Rfam family "tRNA". From Rfam's summary of the family: Transfer RNA (tRNA) molecules are approximately 80 nucleotides in length. Their secondary structure includes four short double-helical elements and three loops (D, anti-codon, and T loops). Further hydrogen bonds mediate the characteristic L-shaped molecular structure. tRNAs have two regions of fundamental functional importance: the anti-codon, which is responsible for specific mRNA codon recognition, and the 3' end, to which the tRNAs corresponding amino acid is attached (by aminoacyl-tRNA synthetases). tRNAs cope with the degeneracy of the genetic code in two manners: having more than one tRNA (with a specific anti-codon) for a particular amino acid; and 'wobble' base-pairing, i.e. permitting non-standard base-pairing at the 3rd anti-codon position. The record is from RNAcentral. Lineage: Eukaryota; Metazoa; Arthropoda; Branchiopoda; Diplostraca; Daphniidae.